CACGGGGGGAGCAAGCGUUGUUCGGAAUCACUGGGCGUAAAGGGCGUGUAGGCGGUCAGGUAAGUGUGAUGUGAAAUCCCUCGGCUCACCCGAGGACCGGCAUCGCAUACUGCUUGGCUUGAGUACGGGAGAGGAUGUGGGAAUUCCUGGUGUAGCGGUGAAAUGCGUAGAUAUCAGGAGGAACACCGGUGGCGAAGGCGCACAUCUGGCCCGAUACUGACGCUGAGGCGCGAAAGCUAGGGGAGCAAACGGG
RNAcentral lists this ribosomal RNA (253 nucleotides) under uncultured bacterium. RNAcentral's name for it is "partial 16S ribosomal RNA". It matches the Rfam family "Bacterial small subunit ribosomal RNA", at positions 524 to 776 of the family's 1533-position model. The record is from RNAcentral.